UACAGAGACUGCAAGCGUUAUUCGGAUUCACUGGGCGUAAAGGGUGCGCAGGCGGCCGAGUGUGUGAGGCGUGAAAGCCCGGGGCUUAACCCCGGAAUUGCACCUCAAACUACACGGCUAGAGCAUUGGAGAGGGUAGCAGAAUUCAUGGUGUAGCAGUGAAAUGCGUAGAUAUCAUGAGGAAUACCAGAGGCGAAGGCGGCUACCUGGACAAUUGCUGACGCUCAGGCACGAAAGCGUGGGGAGCGAACAGG
This 253-nucleotide ribosomal RNA is filed under the name uncultured bacterium. RNAcentral's name for it is "partial 16S ribosomal RNA". It matches the Rfam family "Bacterial small subunit ribosomal RNA", at positions 524 to 776 of the family's 1533-position model. The record is from RNAcentral.